CACCAAGGCGACGAUCCAUAGCCGACCUGAGAGGGUGACCGGCCACAUUGGGACUGAGACACGGCCCAAACUCCUAGGGGAGGCAGCAGUGGGGAAUAUUGCACAAUGGGCGAAAGCCUGAUGCAGCGACGCCGCGUGAGCGAAGAAGUAUUUCGGUAUGUAAAGCUCUAUCAGCAGGAAGAUAAUGACG
RNAcentral lists this ribosomal RNA (190 nucleotides) under uncultured Lachnospiraceae bacterium. Its description in RNAcentral is "partial 16S ribosomal RNA". It matches the Rfam family "Bacterial small subunit ribosomal RNA", at positions 266 to 456 of the family's 1533-position model. The record is from RNAcentral. Lineage: Bacteria; Bacillati; Bacillota; Clostridia; Lachnospirales; Lachnospiraceae.